This is a non-coding RNA of Meleagris gallopavo (turkey), 952 nucleotides long. Lineage: Eukaryota; Metazoa; Chordata; Aves; Galliformes; Phasianidae. The record is from RefSeq and is a predicted model, not a curated record.
UAGAACUCUUGCAUUCAGUAGCAACAAGCGAUGAAGAUCCAUGUAACUAUAGGCUAAGUCAACCUCACCUCAAUUACUAGGAAGAUGCUGCACCCAAGAAGGAUAUGCACUUCAGGAAGGAAGUUCAGUGAAGGGGAUCAAAAUCAUUAAGGGACUGGACUGUAUUCUUUCAUACUAGAAGCAGCUGUGGGAAUUUUGGCACUGAUCAAGAGAAGGCUAAGGGAAUCUAAUCAGCCCAUGUGUUGAUUAAGCUGAAUACCUGAUGGAAAGCAGGAAAGAAUAUGGAAGCACACUCAUUUCAUUAGCAAAAGGCAUAAACUGCAACACAAGAAAUUCAAUCUGAAUACAAAAAAAAAUCCACUUUGUUACUGUGGGGCUGGUCAAACACUAGAACUGGUUGGCUAGGGAAGUGAUGGAAUCAUGCAGAUACUCAAAAAACUUUAUACAGCCCUGGGCAUCCUGCUUAUAUGAUAUCUAGAUGUCCUUGCCAACCUCAAAGAUUCUGUAAUUUUAUGUGAUUUUGAGGAUGAUGUGAGCUAGAGAUAUUUAGAUUUUAAAAUGGUGAGUAAAAGUAAGACAUUUACAAAACUACAGAGAUAAAAUUCCCUUAAUUCACAAAGAUCUAUUUACACAUAGAAUAGCUCAUAUUUCAAACUCAAGAACAGACAAAAACAAAUUUACACAGUCAAAUUAUAAACCCUUUAACUCUUCAUAAUGGAAGUACUAACAUAACCUUUACCAGAAUUCUGCAAAAACAUUGCUAUAAUCAAGAUAAAAUAUGAAAGGAAAUCAAAGGUGAAAGAAUUAUAUAUUUUAACAUAAAGAGAGAGAGAGCCCUGAUAAGUUAGAAUCUUCAGUGUUUUUGUCUAUGAUAGAAACCACAUGGCAGUAAACAAGCUUGCUCUAAGAUCUCAACCAUAAAAAUAGAGAAAUAAAACUGAAUCUAAAUGAA